Molecule: ribosomal RNA, 497 nt
Filed under: uncultured bacterium
Lineage: Bacteria
Description: partial 16S ribosomal RNA
Rfam family: Bacterial small subunit ribosomal RNA
Source: RNAcentral
GAUGAACGCUGGCGGCGUGCCUAAUACAUGCAAGUCGAGCGAACAGACGAGGAGCUUGCUCCUCUGACGUUAGCGGCGGACGGGUGAGUAACACGUGGAUAACCUACCUAUAAGACUGGGAUAACUUCGGGAAACCGGAGCUAAUACCGGAUAAUAUAUUGAACCGCAUGGUUCAAUAGUGAAAGGCGGUUUUGCUGUCACUUAUAGAUGGAUCCGCGCCGCAUUAGCUAGUUGGUAAGGUAACGGCUUACCAAGGCAACGAUGCGUAGCCGACCUGAGAGGGUGAUCGGCCACACCGGAACUGAGACACGGUCCAGACUCCUACGGGAGGCAGCAGUAGGGAAUCUUCCGCAAUGGGCGAAAGCCUGACGGAGCAACGCCGCGUGAGUGAUGAAGGUCUUCGGAUCGUAAAACUCUGUUAUUAGGGAAGAACAAAUGUGUAAGUAACUAUGCACGUCUUGACGGUACCUAAUCAGAAAGCCACGGCUAACUACGUG